AACGAACGUUAGCGGCGCGCCUAACACAUGCAAGUCGAGCGAGAAGGAAGCAAUUCCUGUAAAGCGGCGCACGGGUGAGUAACACGUAGGUAAUCUACCUCGAAGUGGUGGAUAACCUUCCGAAAGGAGGGCUAAUACAGCAUGAGACCACGGUUUCGAAAGAGAUUGAGGUCAAAGCGGGCCACUAUACAUAAGCUCGCGCUUCGAGAUGAGCCUGCGGCCCAUCAUGGUAGUUGGUAGGGUAAUGGCCUACCAAGCCGAAGACGGGUAGCUGGUCUGAGAGGAUGAUCAGCCACACUGGAACUGAGACACGGUCCAGACUCCUACGGGAGGCAGCAGUGGGGAAUCUUGCGCAAUGGGCGAAAGCCUGACGCAGCGACGCCGCGUGAGUGAUGAAGGCCUC
RNAcentral lists this ribosomal RNA (403 nucleotides) under uncultured bacterium. Its description in RNAcentral is "bacterial SSU rRNA". It matches the Rfam family "Bacterial small subunit ribosomal RNA", at positions 29 to 418 of the family's 1533-position model. The record is from RNAcentral.